Non-coding RNA from Myodes glareolus (Bank vole), 930 nucleotides. The record is from RefSeq and is a predicted model, not a curated record. NCBI's taxonomy places the organism in Eukaryota, Metazoa, Chordata, Mammalia, Rodentia, Cricetidae.
CCAAGGAAUCGCUCCCACGCUGUCCCUGUUGGGAAGUAGGGUGAAAGGGGAGGGUCCAUGUGAGCUUCUUUUGUUGGCAUCAAUAAAUACCUGUGGAAUUAACAACACUGAAGGAAACUGAGAAAGAAAAGAUGGGGACCAGGUGCCAGAAAGCCGUCUGGCAGUUUCUCAGAUCCUUAGUCAGAAGCAUAGACUCCAGCCCCUCUCCUCCUUCCCACUCACCCAACAGAAAAUCGAGGAUAUGCGUACACAAAGAGCCAUAAGCGUUCACGGCCACCUUGUGUUAUAGUCCUGAACUGGAAACAGCAGCAUCCAUCAACCAAUAGGCAUGUAAACAGAAUCUGGGACAUCUGUGUGUGAAAAUACAGCUGCGGGAUCACCACAUUAGGUGAUAUAGAAAAAAUUUGUCCGAGUGCCGGCAACAACGUAAGACUGUGGAAAUGCAAACUAACCUAUCGCAAUAGGAAGCAGAGCAUCAUCUGCCAAAUAUACCUUGAUAAAGCCAUUCAAAAAUCAUCUUUGAGAAGAAGGCCAUGGCGGCUGUUCACGCAGUGCCUGGGUUGACAUGAGCUAGCAGUCUGAAUACCUGGAGUCACUGCCGCCCUGUGAAAUGUGAUAGGCGUGUUCUGAGACAGCUAACCAAAAAGGUUCAUGGGGCAGGUUUGAUGAAGCAAACACAUAGCGUGUGAUGAAGAUCAAAACCAAGGCUUCGAAAAUUAGGGUUUUCUCUAUUUUUCAACACCAUGGCAUUUCUCUUCACUUAUAACCUGUUUGGAAUUAGAUUGAGACGGAAGAAACAUAAGCAACCAUCGCUCAAAAGUUGGAAACAAACCCAACAUUCAUUAUUCCACGUCUCAUCUAGCGCCUUCACGACUCACGAUACCCGCGCUGAUGACUGAUGGAUCUUGGCUCCGCGUGCUAAAUAAAACC